AGUGAACGCUGGCGGUAGGCCUAACACAUGCAAGUCGAACGGCAGCACAGUAAGAGCUUGCUCUUACGGGUGGCGAGUGGCGGACGGGUGAGGAAUACAUCGGAAUCUACCUUUUCGUGGGGGAUAACGUAGGGAAACUUACGCUAAUACCGCAUACGACCUACGGGUGAAAGCAGGGGAUCUUCGGACCUUGCGCGAUUGAAUGAGCCGAUGUCGGAUUAGCUAGUUGGCGGGGUAAAGGCCCACCAAGGCGACGAUCCGUAGCUGGUCUGAGAGGAUGAUCAGCCACACUGGAACUGAGACACGGUCCAGACUCCUACGGGAGGCAGCAGUGGGGAAUAUUGGACAAUGGGCGCAAGCCUGAUCCAGCCAUACCGCGCGGGUGAAGAAGGCCUUCGGGUUGUAAAGCCCUUUUGUUGGGAAAGAAAAGCAGCAGGCUAAUACCCCGCUGUUCUGACGGUACCCAAAGAAUAAGCACCGGCUAACUUCGUG
Molecule: ribosomal RNA, 492 nt
Filed under: uncultured bacterium
Lineage: Bacteria
Description: partial 16S ribosomal RNA
Rfam family: Bacterial small subunit ribosomal RNA
Source: RNAcentral